Molecule: ribosomal RNA, 775 nt
Filed under: uncultured bacterium
Lineage: Bacteria
Description: bacterial SSU rRNA
Rfam family: Bacterial small subunit ribosomal RNA
Source: RNAcentral
CAAGUCGAGGGGUAACAGGUGGAGCUUGCUCCCGCUGACGACCGGCGCACGGGUGCGUAGCGCGUAUGCAACCUACCUACUACUGAGGGAUAGCCUGUGGAAACACGGAUUAAUACCUCAUAAUACAGGGGCUCUACAUGGAGAUAUUUGUUAAAGAUUUAUCGGUAGUAGAUGGGCAUGCGUCCCAUUAGCUAGUUGGUGAGGUAACGGCUCACCAAGGCGACGAUGGGUAGGGGUUCUGAGAGGAUGAUCCCCCACACUGGUACUGAGACACGGACCAGACUCCUACGGGAGGCAGCAGUAAGGAAUAUUGGGCAAUGGAGGCAACUCUGACCCAGCCAUGCCGCGUGCAGGAUGACGGCCUUCGGGUUGUAAACUGCUUUUGCACAAGAAGAAAAUCGGGAUGCGUCCUGAAUUGACGGUACUGUGCGAAUAAGCACCGGCUAACUCCGUGCCAGCAGCCGCGGUAAUACGGAGGGUGCAAGCGUUGUCCGGAUUUAUUGGGUUUAAAGGGUACGUAGGCGGCUUGAUAAGUCAGUGGUGAAAGUUUGCAGCUUAACUGUAAAAGUGCCAUUGAUACUGUUAGGCUUGAGUACUGUAGAGGUGGGCGGAAUUCCGCAUGUAGCGGUGAAAUGCAUAGAUAUGCGGAGGAACUCCAACUGCGAAGGCAGCUCACUGGGCAGUAACUGACGCUGAGGUACGAAAGCGUGGGGAGCGAACAGGAUUAGAUACCCUGGUAGUCCACGCCGUAAACGAUGGUAACUAGGUGUGCGCG